AGUGAACGCUGGCGGUAGGCCUAACACAUGCAAGUCUAACGGCAGCACAGUAAGAGCUUGCUCUUACGGGUGGCGAGUGGCGGACGGGUGAGGAAUACAUCGGAAUCUACUUUUUCGUGGGGGAUAACGUAGGGAAACUUACGCUAAUACCGCAUACGACCUACGGGUGAAAGCAGGGGAUCUUCGGACCUUGCGCGAUUGAAUGAGCCGAUGUCGGAUUAGCUAGUUGGCGGGGUAAAGGCCCACCAAGGCGAGGAUCCGUAGCUGGUCUGAGAGGAUGAUCAGCCACACUGGAACUGAGACACGGUCCAGACUCCUACGGGAGGCAGCAGUGGGGAAUAUUGGACAAUGGGCGCAAGCCUGAUCCAGCCAUACCGCGUGGGUGAAGAAGGCCUUCGGGUUGUAAAGCCCUUUUGUUGGGAAAGAAAAGCAGCAGGUUAAUACCCCGCUGUUCUGACGGUACCCAAAGAAUAAGCACCGGCUAACUUCGUG
RNAcentral lists this ribosomal RNA (492 nucleotides) under uncultured bacterium. RNAcentral describes it as "partial 16S ribosomal RNA". It matches the Rfam family "Bacterial small subunit ribosomal RNA", at positions 29 to 507 of the family's 1533-position model. The record is from RNAcentral.